GGAGGGGUGGCCGAGUGGCUGAAGGCGGCGGUUUGCUAAACCGUUGUAGGGCCCUAAAGCCCUACCGUGGGUUCGAAUCCCAUCCCCUCCGCCA
Molecule: transfer RNA, 94 nt
Filed under: Alphaproteobacteria bacterium
Lineage: Bacteria; Pseudomonadati; Pseudomonadota; Alphaproteobacteria
Description: tRNA-Ser
Rfam family: tRNA
About the family: Transfer RNA (tRNA) molecules are approximately 80 nucleotides in length. Their secondary structure includes four short double-helical elements and three loops (D, anti-codon, and T loops).
Source: RNAcentral